Molecule: ribosomal RNA, 405 nt
Filed under: uncultured bacterium
Lineage: Bacteria
Description: bacterial SSU rRNA
Rfam family: Bacterial small subunit ribosomal RNA
Source: RNAcentral
AUUGAACGCUGGCGGAAUGCUUUACACAUGCAAGUCGAACGGCAGCACGGGAGCUUGCUCCUGGUGGCGAGUGGCGAACGGGUGAGUAAUGCGUCGGAACGUACCGAGUAAUGGGGGAUAACGCAGCGAAAGCUGUGCUAAUACCGCAUACGCCCUGAGGGGGAAAGUGGGGGAUCGCAAGACCUCACGUUAUUCGAGCGGCCGACGUCUGAUUAGCUAGUUGGUGGGGUAAAGGCCUACCAAGGCGACGAUCAGUAGCGGGUCUGAGAGGAUGAUCCGCCACACUGGAACUGAGACACGGUCCAGACUCCUACGGGAGGCAGCAGUGGGGAAUUUUGGACAAUGGGGGCAACCCUGAUCCAGCCAUUCCGCGUGAGUGAAGAAGGCCUUCGGGUUGUAAAGCUC